UCUUUUCCUUUUGUUUCAGCCGCCGCGGUAAUACGGAAGGUCCGGGCGUUAUCCGGAUUUAUUGGGUUUAAAGGGAGCGUAGGCCGGAGAUUAAGCGUGUUGUGAAAUGUAGACGCUCAACGUCUGCACUGCAGCGCGAACUGGUUUCCUUGAGUACGCACAAAGUGGGCGGAAUUCGUGGUGUAGCGGUGAAAUGCUUAGAUAUCACGAAGAACUCCGAUUGCGAAGGCAGCUCACUGGAGCGCAACUGACGCUGAAGCUCGAAAGUGCGGGUAUCGAACAGG
Molecule: ribosomal RNA, 284 nt
Filed under: Segatella copri DSM 18205
Lineage: Bacteria; Pseudomonadati; Bacteroidota; Bacteroidia; Bacteroidales; Prevotellaceae
Description: Prevotella copri DSM 18205 partial 16S ribosomal RNA
Rfam family: Bacterial small subunit ribosomal RNA
Source: RNAcentral